This is a long non-coding RNA of Quercus robur (English oak), 1186 nucleotides long. RefSeq lists it as uncharacterized. The transcript has 5 exons. The record is from RefSeq and is a predicted model, not a curated record. Lineage: Eukaryota; Viridiplantae; Streptophyta; Magnoliopsida; Fagales; Fagaceae.
AUAUAGAGUUCCGCAGCGUAUUACUACUGCGAGAGAAACUUUGGUCAGGAGCUGGCGUAAAGAGCCUUCUUUACGCCACCAAUGAAUAAACGCCAAACUAUAUUUCUACUGAAAACCCAAUACACUUCAACACACACAAACAUAACUCAGUCCCCCAACACGUAUCAGACCUGCCUAAAGAACUAAACAGCUCCAACGCCUAAACCCAUUCCACCUCUUUCCAUCUACUACCGGACCUCCACCUCGCCGCUGAAACUGCCGCACACGUCAGUAAGGAGCUAGCGCCGCCGCACCGGAGCUCCACCUCGUCGUUCAAGGGCUUGUUUCUCUACCUACGAUGCUGGUUUGGCACUAUGGUUCUUGAUUUUGAGCGAUUCUUGGUCAUAUAUUGACUACUUGUUCUUGUUUUGACAUGAAUGUAUUAUAUGAGUGUGUUAUCUAGAAUAGAAGGGGAAAAUUUUGAGUCUUUCUUUCCUACUCUGUGGCUUUUCUGUUUUCUGUUGUGGGUGUUUUAUUUGCUUUAUGUUGCUUGGUUUAUAGCCCACAAAAGCAAAUAUAAGAUUGUGAGGAAAGGAGAGGAGGAGGAGUUAGACGUUGGAGCUGUUUAGUUCUUCAGGAUUUUGAGGUUCUGAUCCCUCUGAUUUACAGCCAUGGAAGGAGGCAACGCCCAAAAGUCGGAGAAGUCCAAGGCUGCUGGCAAGGGAAGCCAGCCAGAAUCAAAAAAGGAGGAGGGGCCAUUCAAGUGCACGGUGUGCUUGCGGACAUUUACAUCAGCGGGGAAGUGCAGGGAACAUGAAGCAAAGCACACCUCCAAAUCUGAUCCCAAAAAUUGUUGAAUAAAUUUGAUGAUGCCAAAAUCGUCAGUUGGGUCACUCGUUCAAUUCGGAUCAUUAGACGAUUUUGUAGGACCUGUAAGAUAAAAGAGAGAUAGAUUGAAAAGACCACCAGGUUGUGCCCGGUGGAGGGAGGGAGCCUCCGAUGCUUAAAUUAGUAUCAGUCCAUAUAUUUUGUAUAUAGUAAUAUAGAUAGUGUUUUGUAGUAGUUUUUUACAUAUCUUUGCUAGUGAGACCGAUUAUCCCUUUUAUAGGUAAUUUAGGUAGUUGUUGUACAUAAAUAAGGGUGAUUAUUACCUUGAUUGUAACGUUUUUUUGUCUUGAUGAAAGUUUAAGACAUUUGAUGGUCGUUA